AUUGAACGCUGGCGGCAUGCUUUACACAUGCAAGUCGAACGGCAGCGCGGGCUUCGGCCUGGCGGCGAGUGGCGAACGGGUGAGUAAUGCAUCGGAACGUGCCCAGUAGUGGGGGAUAGCCCGGCGAAAGCCGGAUUAAUACCGCAUACGGCCUGAGGGUGAAAGCGGGGGACCGAAAGGCCUCGCGCUAUUGGAGCGGCCGAUGUCGGAUUAGCUAGUUGGUGGGGUAAAGGCUUACCAAGGCGACGAUCCGUAGCUGGUCUGAGAGGACGACCAGCCACACUGGGACUGAGACACGGCCCAGACUCCUACGGGAGGCAGCAGUGGGGAAUUUUGGACAAUGGGGGCAACCCUGAUCCAGCCAUGCCGCGUGCGGGAAGAAGGCCUUCGGGUUGUAAACCGCUUUUGUUCGGGAAGAAAUCCUCUGGGCUAAUACCCCGGGGGGAUGACGGUACCGGAAGAAUAAGCACCGACUAACUACGUG
This 484-nucleotide ribosomal RNA is filed under the name uncultured bacterium. RNAcentral's name for it is "partial 16S ribosomal RNA". It matches the Rfam family "Bacterial small subunit ribosomal RNA", at positions 28 to 507 of the family's 1533-position model. The record is from RNAcentral.